GCAGUACUCCCCUUCAGCUGAUGCUUUGCUC
Molecule: non-coding RNA, 31 nt
Filed under: Homo sapiens (human)
Lineage: Eukaryota; Metazoa; Chordata; Mammalia; Primates; Hominidae
Source: RNAcentral